AACAAACGCUGGCGGCGUGCCUAACACAUGCAAGUCGUACGAGAAAGUCGGCUUCGGCCGAUGAGUACAGUGGCGCACGGGUGAGUAACGCGUGGGUAAUCUACCCCUCGGUCAGGAAUAACCCGCCGAAAGGCGGGCUAAUACCCGAUAACACUGACGCUCUGCGGAGUGUCUUUCAAAGAAGGCCUCUGUUUACAAGCUUUCGCCGGAGGAUGAGCCCGCGUACCAUUAGCUAGUUGGCAGGGUAAUGGCCUACCAAGGCAACGAUGGUUAGCUGGUCUGAGAGGAUGGCCAGCCACACUGGAACUGAGACACGGUCCAGACUCCUACGGGAGGCAGCAGUGAGGAAUCUUGCGCAAUGGGGGAAACCCUGACGCAGCAACGCCGCGUGAGUGAGGAAGGCCUUCGGGUC
RNAcentral lists this ribosomal RNA (412 nucleotides) under uncultured bacterium. Its description in RNAcentral is "bacterial SSU rRNA". It matches the Rfam family "Bacterial small subunit ribosomal RNA", at positions 29 to 424 of the family's 1533-position model. The record is from RNAcentral.